GCAGUCGAGCGAGCAUAACCAGCAGAUUUACUUCGGUAAUGACGCUGGGGACGCGAGCGGCGGAUGGGUGAGUAACACGUGGGGAACCUGCCCCAUAGCCUGGGAUACCACUUGGAAACAGGUGCUAAUACCGGAUAAGAAAGCAGAUCGCAUGAUCAGCUUAUAAAAGGCGGCGUAAGCUGUCGCUAUGGGAUGGCCCCGCGGUGCAUUAGCUAGUUGGUAAGGUAACGGCUUACCAAGGCAAUGAUGCAUAGCCGAGUUGAGAGACUGAUCGGCCACAUUGGGACUGAGACACGGCCCAAACUCCUACGGGAGGCAGCAGUAGGGAAUCUUCCACAAUGGACGCAAGUCUGAUGGAGCAACGCCGCGUGAGUGAAGAAGGUUUUCGGAUCGUAAAGCUCUGUUGUUGGUGAAGAAGGAUAGAGGUAGUAACUGGCCUUUAUUUGACGGUAAUCAACCAGAAAGUCACGGCUAACUACGUGCCAGCAGCCGCGGUAAUACGUAGGUGGCAAGCGUUGUCCGGAUUUAUUGGGCGUAAAGCGAGCGCAGGCGGAAGAAUAAGUCUGAUGUGAAAGCCCUCGGCUUAACCGAGGAACUGCAUCGGAAACUGUUUUUCUUGAGUGCAGA
Molecule: ribosomal RNA, 627 nt
Filed under: Lactobacillus helveticus
Lineage: Bacteria; Bacillati; Bacillota; Bacilli; Lactobacillales; Lactobacillaceae
Description: bacterial SSU rRNA
Rfam family: Bacterial small subunit ribosomal RNA
Source: RNAcentral